Molecule: ribosomal RNA, 403 nt
Filed under: uncultured bacterium
Lineage: Bacteria
Also listed under: 1 other name
Description: bacterial SSU rRNA
Rfam family: Bacterial small subunit ribosomal RNA
Source: RNAcentral
UGGGGAAUUUUGCGCAAUGGAGGCAACUCUGACGCAGCAACGCCGCGUGCGGGAUGAAGGCCCUCGGGUUGUAAACCGCUUUCAGCAGGGAAGACUUCGACUGUACCUGCAGAAGAAGCCCCGGCUAACUACGUGCCAGCAGCCGCGGUAAUACGUAGGGGGCGAGCGUUAUCCGGAUUCAUUGGGCGUAAAGCGCGCGUAGGCGGCUCGCCAAGCGGGAUCUCAAACCUGAGGGCUCAACCCCCAGCAGGAUCCCGGACUGGCGGGCUCGAGUUCGGUAGGGGAAGGCGGAACUCCCAGUGUAGCGGUGAAAUGCGCAGAUAUUGGGAGGAACACCGAUGGCGAAGGCAGCCUUCUGGGCCGUAACUGACGCUGAGGUGCGAAAGCUAGGGGAGCGAACAGG